RNAcentral lists this ribosomal RNA (407 nucleotides) under uncultured bacterium. Its description in RNAcentral is "partial 16S ribosomal RNA". It matches the Rfam family "Bacterial small subunit ribosomal RNA", at positions 30 to 526 of the family's 1533-position model. The record is from RNAcentral.
AUUGAACGCUGGCGGCAGGCCUAACACAUGCAAGUCGAGCGGAGCGGCGGACGGGGAAGUAAUGCCGAGGAAUCUGCCUGGUAGUGGGGGAUAAAGUCCGGAAACGGGGGCUAAUACCGCAAACUAUCAGAUGAGACUAGGUCGACUGAGCUAGUUGGGUGGGUAAAGGCCUACCAAGGCGACGAGACGUAACUGGUCUGAGAGGAGGAUCAUUCACACUGGAACUGAGACACGUCCCAGACUCCUACGGGAGGCAGCAGUGGGGAAUCUUGGACAAUGGGCGAAAGCCUGAUCCAGCCAUGCCGCGUGUGGUAAGAAGGUCUUCGGAUUGUAAAGCAAUUUAAGUUGGGAGGCGUUACCAACAGAAUAAGCACCGGCUAACAUCGUGCCAGCCGCCGCGGUAAUUC